GAUGAACGCUGGCGGCGUGCCUAAUACAUGCGAGUCGAGCGAACGGACGAGAAGCUUGCUUCUCUGAUGUUAUCGGCGGACGGGUGAGUAACACGUGGAUAACCUACCUAUAAGACUGGGAUAACUUCGGGAAACCGGAGCUAAUACCGGAUAAUAUUUUGAACCGCAUGGUUCAAAAGUGAAAGACGGUCUUGCUGUCACUUAUAGAUGGAUCCGCGCUGCAUUAGCUAGUUGGUAAGGUAACGGCUUACCAAGGCAACGAUGCAUAGCCGACCUGAGAGGGUGAUCGGCCACACUGGAACUGAGACACGGUCCAGACUCCUACGGGAGGCAGCAGUAGGGAAUCUUCCGCAAUGGGCGAAAGCCUGACGGAGCAACGCCGCGUGAGUGAUGAAGGUCUUCGGAUCGUAAAACUCUGUUAUUAGGGAAGAACAUAUGUGUAAGUAACUGUGCACAUCUUGACGGUACCUAAUCAGAAAGCCACGGCUAACUACGUG
Molecule: ribosomal RNA, 497 nt
Filed under: uncultured bacterium
Lineage: Bacteria
Description: partial 16S ribosomal RNA
Rfam family: Bacterial small subunit ribosomal RNA
Source: RNAcentral